Heteronotia binoei (common prickly gecko) is the source of this 1061-nucleotide long non-coding RNA. RefSeq lists it as uncharacterized. NCBI's taxonomy places the organism in Eukaryota, Metazoa, Chordata, Lepidosauria, Squamata, Gekkonidae. The transcript has 3 exons. The record is from RefSeq and is a predicted model, not a curated record.
CUCGUCUGCCAGUCUCAGUCUGAGAACCCUCCGCGGCUCCGCCCCCUCCAAACGAGUCAAAACACCUCAAGGCCGCGUCCUCUUGCUUCACCGGCGACUCUCCCUGAGACCUCCCCCCCCCCCCCCGCUCCUGGUUCAUCUCCCAAGUCUUGCCACAAGGACGGAGGGGGAGAGAGAAGGAGCUUACCCAGUUCGGAGCCGCACUGGAAGGCUGAAGGAAGAAAAACAGAUCCUCCUACCUGCGCGCUACAAACCAAUCUGGUCUCCGCACCCAGCCUGCCAACGCAAUUUCAGCCCUUUCCCGCAAGCACGCGAACGAAACUUGCUGAGCCCCAGGUUUCUAUUGGCCAAUUCUACCUGGCGUUUGGGAAAUGGUUCGAGAAGCACCAGUUACAGACAUCACAGGAGGCUUGUUUGGGUUUCUGUCGUAGCAAAACCUGCAGUUUCCGGAAGACAACCUUGUAAGUAACACAAAAAGCUGGACCAGCAGGCAUGAAGUUAGAACCAAGCCAUCAAUUCGAUGGAAGAAGAGUGAGUUAGAUGACCUAUUUAAGCUGUUCAAACACAGAAGGGGAUCUACAGUUGAAGAGGACCACCUCCAAGGAAUUCCACAUGCAGGACCAGUGCCUGACAGAGGAGGAAGAUGAGAGAAUUCUAGAGGAUUCUGGAUCAUUAAUUAGACAAAAUGUUCAGUAUUUCCUGCCUGAAGAGGUCCUCUGCUAUGCAGUACAUGUGCUGCUUUUUUGGCUGAUUGAAGAAUAUUGAUGAACAGACGCAUGUAGCACCAGAGGAACACACUGAACUACCGGCUAUCACCUUUGCAGUGGAAAAUAACAGUUCUGUGGAUAAGUGGAACUAUUUUGGGUGAGCAAUCUAAAAAGAUUUUUGACUUUUGAAUAAAACUAUGCCAGGUUACAGGCUGCUUGGCAAAACUGUUCAGUGUCAAGAAUAGUUUGUCAUGUGGUAUGAGGAGCUGCUGUUCAUGAAACUCCAGCCUAGUGUUUGUGGCUGGUUGGCCUACAGUUUCAUGUAAAAAUCAAAAUAAAUGAUAAUACAGUAAA